Molecule: ribosomal RNA, 254 nt
Filed under: uncultured bacterium
Lineage: Bacteria
Description: partial 16S ribosomal RNA
Rfam family: Bacterial small subunit ribosomal RNA
Source: RNAcentral
UACAGAGGGCAGCUACCCAGCAAUGGGAUGCGAAUCUCGAAAGCCUGUCUCAGUUCGGAUUGGAGGCUGAAACCCGCCUCCAUGAAGUUGGAUUCGCUAGUAAUCGCGCAUCAGCCAUGGCGCGGUGAAUACGUUCCCGGGCCUUGUACACACCGCCCGUCAAGCCAUGGGAGCCGGGGGUGCCUGAAGUUCGUGACCGCAAGGAGCGACCUAGGGCAAAACUGGUGACUGGGGCUAAGUCGUAACAAGGUAUC